AGAGUUAAAGGCGUAUCUCUACUAUAAAAUGGAUAGUAGAGGUAUACCCAUUAGCUCUGA
Non-coding RNA from Caenorhabditis brenneri, 60 nucleotides. Lineage: Eukaryota; Metazoa; Nematoda; Chromadorea; Rhabditida; Rhabditidae. The record is from Rfam.